UAGGGAAUAUUGGUAAUGUGCGAAAGCGCGAACCAGCAACGCCGCGUGCACGAUGAAGGCCUUCGGGUUGUAAAGUGCUUUUAGAGAGGAUGAGGAAGGACAGUACCCUCAGAAUAAGCCUCGGCUAACUACGUGCCAGCAGCCGCGGUAAAACGUAGGAGGCGAGCGUUAUCCGGAUUUACUGGGCGUAAAGCGCGUGCAGGCGGAUUGGAGAGUUGGAUGUGAAAGCUCCCGGCUUAACUGGGAGAGGUCGUUCAAUACUUCCAGUCUUGAGUGCAGUAGAGGGCAGUGGAAUUCCGGGUGUAGUGGUGAAAUGCGUAGAUAUCCGGAGGAACACCAGUGGCGAAAGCGGCUUUCUGGACUGUAACUGACGCUCAGACGCGAAAGCUAGGGUAGCAAACG
RNAcentral lists this ribosomal RNA (402 nucleotides) under uncultured bacterium. Its description in RNAcentral is "bacterial SSU rRNA". It matches the Rfam family "Bacterial small subunit ribosomal RNA", at positions 355 to 774 of the family's 1533-position model. The record is from RNAcentral.